UACGUAGGGUGCAGGCGUUAAUCGGAAUUACUGGGCGUAAAGCGUGCGCAGGCGGUUUGCUAAGACAGGUGUGAAAUCCCCGGGCUUAACCUGGGAACUGCGCUUGUUACUGGCAGGCUUGAGUGUGGCAGAGGGAGGUGGAAUUCCACGUGUAGCGGUGAAAUGCGUAGAGAUGUGGAGGAACACCGAUGGCGAAGGCAGCCUCCUGGGCCAAUACUGACGCUGAGGAGCGAAAGCCAGGGGAGCAAACGGG
Molecule: ribosomal RNA, 253 nt
Filed under: uncultured bacterium
Lineage: Bacteria
Description: partial 16S ribosomal RNA
Rfam family: Bacterial small subunit ribosomal RNA
Source: RNAcentral